RNAcentral lists this non-coding RNA (31 nucleotides) under Rattus norvegicus (Norway rat). The record is from RNAcentral. Lineage: Eukaryota; Metazoa; Chordata; Mammalia; Rodentia; Muridae.
UGGUAAUACUGACAACUCCAAGUAUAUCUAC